Molecule: small RNA, 134 nt
Filed under: uncultured Bullifex sp.
Lineage: Bacteria; Pseudomonadati; Spirochaetota; Spirochaetia; Spirochaetales; Spirochaetaceae
Description: HNH endonuclease-associated RNA and ORF (HEARO) RNA
Rfam family: HNH endonuclease-associated RNA and ORF (HEARO) RNA
Source: RNAcentral
UCAAUCACCCACGGGGCAAGCCCGGGGGUUGGUGGAGAGCCGAACCCUGAUUGAUUAGCCCAAGUGCUUCGUGCACUACGUUAUGCCGGAAUAUAUAGGCACCGCGGGACGAGUGUCCUAAUCCCGCGCUCUGC